RNAcentral lists this ribosomal RNA (486 nucleotides) under uncultured bacterium. Its description in RNAcentral is "partial 16S ribosomal RNA". It matches the Rfam family "Bacterial small subunit ribosomal RNA", at positions 30 to 507 of the family's 1533-position model. The record is from RNAcentral.
AUUGAACGCUGGCGGCAUGCCUUACACAUGCAAGUCGAACGGCAGCACGGGUGCUUGCACCUGGUGGCGAGUGGCGAACGGGUGAGUAAUACAUCGGAACAUGUCCUGUAGUGGGGGAUAGCCCGGCGAAAGCCGGAUUAAUACCGCAUACGAUCUACGGAUGAAAGCGGGGGACCUUCGGGCCUCGCGCUAUAGGGUUGGCCGAUAGCUGAUUAGCUAGUUGGUGGGGUAAAGGCCUACCAAGGCGACGAUCAGUAGCUGGUCUGAGAGGACGACCAGCCACACUGGGACUGAGACACGGCCCAGACUCCUACGGGAGGCAGCAGUGGGGAAUUUUGGACAAUGGGCGAAAGCCUGAUCCAGCAAUGCCGCGUGUGUGAAGAAGGCCUUCGGGUUGUAAAGCACGUUUGUCCGGAAAGAAAUCCUUGGCUCUAAUACAGUCGGGGGAUGACGGUACCGGAAGAAUAAGCACCGGCUAACUACGUG